This 824-nucleotide ribosomal RNA is filed under the name Bacillus siamensis. Its description in RNAcentral is "bacterial SSU rRNA". It matches the Rfam family "Bacterial small subunit ribosomal RNA", at positions 96 to 904 of the family's 1533-position model. Lineage: Bacteria; Bacillati; Bacillota; Bacilli; Caryophanales; Bacillaceae. The record is from RNAcentral.
CGGCGGACGGGUGAGUAACACGUGGGUAACCUGCCUGUAAGACUGGGAUAACUCCGGGAAACCGGGGCUAAUACCGGAUGGUUGUCUGAACCGCAUGGUUCAGACAUAAAAGGUGGCUUCGGCUACCACUUACAGAUGGACCCGCGGCGCAUUAGCUAGUUGGUGAGGUAACGGCUCACCAAGGCGACGAUGCGUAGCCGACCUGAGAGGGUGAUCGGCCACACUGGGACUGAGACACGGCCCAGACUCCUACGGGAGGCAGCAGUAGGGAAUCUUCCGCAAUGGACGAAAGUCUGACGGAGCAACGCCGCGUGAGUGAUGAAGGUUUUCGGAUCGUAAAGCUCUGUUGUUAGGGAAGAACAAGUGCCGUUCAAAUAGGGCGGCACCUUGACGGUACCUAACCAGAAAGCCACGGCUAACUACGUGCCAGCAGCCGCGGUAAUACGUAGGUGGCAAGCGUUGUCCGGAAUUAUUGGGCGUAAAGGGCUCGCAGGCGGUUUCUUAAGUCUGAUGUGAAAGCCCCCGGCUCAACCGGGGAGGGUCAUUGGAAACUGGGGAACUUGAGUGCAGAAGAGGAGAGUGGAAUUCCACGUGUAGCGGUGAAAUGCGUAGAGAUGUGGAGGAACACCAGUGGCGAAGGCGACUCUCUGGUCUGUAACUGACGCUGAGGAGCGAAAGCGUGGGGAGCGAACAGGAUUAGAUACCCUGGUAGUCCACGCCGUAAACGAUGAGUGCUAAGUGUUAGGGGGUUUCCGCCCCUUAGUGCUGCAGCUAACGCAUUAAGCACUCCGCCUGGGGAGUACGGUCGCAAGACUGAAACUCAA